CUACGGGGGGCUGCAGUGGGGAAUAUUGCACAAUGGAGGAAACUCUGAUGCAGCAACGCCGCGUGGAUGAUGAAGCUUUUCGGAGUGUAAAAUCCUUUUCUAAGAGAAGAUAAUGACGGUAUCUUAGGAAUAAGCACCGGCUAACUCCGUGCCAGCAGCCGCGGUAAUACGGAGGGUGCAAGCAUUACUCGGAAUCACUGGGCGUAAAGAGAGUGUAGGCUGCCUGAUAAGUCUUUUGUGAAAUCUCAUAGCUUAACUAUGAAACUGCAUUAGAAACUGUCAGGCUUGAGUAUGGAAGAGGUAGGUGGAAUUAGUAGUGUAGGGGUGAAAUCCGUAGAUAUUACUAGGAAUACCAAUUGCGAAGGCAACCUGCUGGGACAUUACUGACGCUGAGACUCGAAAGUGUGGGGAGCAAACAGGAUUAGAUACCCUAGUAGUC
RNAcentral lists this ribosomal RNA (439 nucleotides) under uncultured bacterium. RNAcentral's name for it is "partial 16S ribosomal RNA". It matches the Rfam family "Bacterial small subunit ribosomal RNA", at positions 339 to 795 of the family's 1533-position model. The record is from RNAcentral.